Molecule: ribosomal RNA, 301 nt
Filed under: uncultured bacterium
Lineage: Bacteria
Description: partial 16S ribosomal RNA
Rfam family: Bacterial small subunit ribosomal RNA
Source: RNAcentral
CAGCCGCCGCGGAAUACGUAGGGCGCAAGCGUUGUCCGGAAUUAUUGGGCGUAAAGAGCUCGUAGGCGGUCUGUCGCGUCUGGUGUGAAAUCCCGAGGCUCAACCUCGGGCUUGCAUCGGGUACGGGCAGACUAGAGUGCGGUAGGGGAGACUGGAAUUCCUGGUGUAGCGGUGGAAUGCGCAGAUAUCAGGAGGAACACCGAUGGCGAAGGCAGGUCUCUGGGCCGCAACUGACGCUGAGGAGCGAAAGCAUGGGGAGCGAACAGGAUUAGAGACCCCAGUAGUCCCUGUCUCUUAUACA